UCUAGUAACGGCGAGUGAAGCAGCAAUAGCUCAAAUUUGAAAUCUGGCGUCUUCGACGUCCGAGUUGUAAUUUGUAGAGGAUGCUUCUGAGUAACCACCGACCUAAGUUCCUUGGAACAGGACGUCAUAGAGGGUGAGAAUCCCGUAUGCGGUCGGAAAGGUGCUCUAUACGUAGCUCCUUCGACGAGUCGAGUUGUUUGGGAAUGCAGCUCUAAAUGGGAGGUAAAUUUCUUCUAAAGCUAAAUAUUGGCCAGAGACCGAUAGCGCACAAGUAGAGUGAUCGAAAGAUGAAAAGCACUUUGGAAAGAGAGUUAAAAAGCACGUGAAAUUGUUAAAAGGGAAGGGAUUGCAACCAGACUUGCUCGCGGUGUUCCGCCGGUCUUCUGACCGGUCUACUCGCCGCGUUGCAGGCCAGCAUCGUCUGGUGCCGCUGGAUAAGACUUGAGGAAUGUAGCUCCCUCGGGAGUGUUAUAGCCUCUUGUGAUGCAGCGAGCGCCGGGCGAGGUCCGCGCUUCGGCUAGGAUGCUGGCGUAAUGGUCGUAAUCCGCCCGUCUUGAAACACGGACCAAGGAGUCUAACAUCUAUGCGAGUGUUCGGGUGUCAAACCCCUACGCGUAAUGAAAGUGAACGGAGGUGAGAACCGCAAGGUGCAUCAUCGACCGAUCCUGAUGUCUUCGGAUGGAUUUGAGUAAGAGCAUAGCUGUUGGGACCCGAAAGAUGGUGAACUAUGCCUGAAUAGGGUGAAGCCAGAGGAAACUCUGGUGGAGGCUCGCAGCGGUUCUGACGUGCAAAUCGAUCGUCAAAUUUGGGUAUAGGGGCGAAAGACUAAUCGAACCAUCUAGUAGCUGGUUCC
This 853-nucleotide ribosomal RNA is filed under the name Cladosporium tenuissimum. RNAcentral's name for it is "LSU rRNA". It matches the Rfam family "Eukaryotic large subunit ribosomal RNA", at positions 79 to 958 of the family's 3401-position model. The record is from RNAcentral. Lineage: Eukaryota; Fungi; Ascomycota; Dothideomycetes; Cladosporiales; Cladosporiaceae.